RNAcentral lists this signal recognition particle RNA (304 nucleotides) under Vigna radiata var. radiata (mung bean). RNAcentral's name for it is "SRP RNA Plant_SRP". It matches the Rfam family "Plant signal recognition particle RNA". Lineage: Eukaryota; Viridiplantae; Streptophyta; Magnoliopsida; Fabales; Fabaceae. The record is from Rfam by way of RNAcentral.
GCUGAGUUGAGUAACGUCAGCUUGUAACCUAAGUGGGGGCAACAAGGUGAUUGAACAAGGCUAUGGCUUGCUAAGCUACUCUGUAGGUUGCAACCUGCUGGCUUGCCCACUCCAAGCUGAGAGCUGAGCCAUGGGACCUUUGCGAAGGCAUAGGUUUCCUGGUUCCUAGACAGGAGGGCACAGCGUGAGGCUGGUUUCACAGAACAGCGACAACCUCCGGCUCUUGGCAGUGGAGGGAUAACAGGCUGCUGUACCUCCAGUCCCAAUCAAGCUUGGUGAGCCUUGCUCUUGAACAAUCAUUCUU